AUGUGUUUAUUUGUCAUGGUUUGGGGAAGGGGCGCUGCUGUGGGGAUGAUGGGAGGCCUAGAACUCCUUCUCCUUCCUGCCAGAAGCUUUCCCGUGGCGCAACUCCUGGCCAUCAUGGACUUGUGCCAGAAAGUCCCGCCAAACAGAAGAACACAUGCCUCCAGGGGGAUCUUGGCCUCCUGCAGGGACUCUUGUGUUUCAGAGGGGCACCCUUCUGAGUCCUUUCCUACAAACACAUCUUUGUGCAUUUAUUCCCUAAAAAAAGACUUAUUGAGGACCCACUAUGUGCCCAGCCCAAGAGUAGAUUUGGGACACGUGUAAGCAAUAUACACCAAACCGCCACCCCGUGGACUCACACUGAGGUGGGCAGCACACCCAGGCCACCGAAAUGAGUUUUCAUAUCGGGGUUGGGACCCCUCGUCUUCUUGGAAGCCCUGGGAUUCUCAUGAACACGAUUUCUGUCUUUCCAGGUUUAUAGACCAAGGGCCCUAAAGAUAAAUGCUGGCCCUAGUUGGGCCACAAAAAGUUGUGUUAACCCCUUACCCUGGGCAGUGGGUGUCUCCACACCUACAUUUACACAAGAGAUAGAUCUGCCACAUGGCUUUUCUCUGAGGAAAGGAGGCCCAGUUCAAGCUGACUUGUUCUUUCUGUUAGAGGGGACUCUGUGUGUGUGUGUGUGUGUGUGCGCACGUGCAUGCGUGCAUGUGUGUUUGGCAGUGAGGAUUUAGGCUUCUAGGGGCAGUUUGGUGAAUUCUAUGAGGGUUUUACAUGGCUUCUGAAAGGGUUCUAUGAAGCUUCUACAUGGAUUCCAUUAAGCUCUCAUAAGGACUUUACGUUCAUCCACAAGAAGUGGACAUGGAUUCUAUGAAGACUAAGAGAUUUUAAUGUGUCAAGCGCUGACGCCUUGAAGGAGGUGGUGGGUGAGCAGCAGGGCUUUGCACUCAGCUGUGCCCCACUUGCCACAAAUGGGCUUUCACCUCCCCUUUCCCUAUAAACUGUAGCGUUUUUCUUUUCCGCUGGUUUCCUUCUUUUGCUCUUUACACAGCCAAUUUAACGAGAUGAAUUUAAAAACGAAUAAAAGGAAAACCCCAGAGCAAACAGCACAUGGUGAGCUUAGCCAAGGACAUCCUCUAGACAUCAAAGGCUCUGAGGCCAUUGAAGAUGCUGUGAAGCAAA
This 1176-nucleotide long non-coding RNA is filed under the name Canis lupus familiaris (dog). Its description in RNAcentral is "lncRNA (ENSCAFG00040013297.1)". The record is from RNAcentral. Lineage: Eukaryota; Metazoa; Chordata; Mammalia; Carnivora; Canidae.